Molecule: long non-coding RNA, 206 nt
Organism: Sphaeramia orbicularis (orbiculate cardinalfish)
Lineage: Eukaryota; Metazoa; Chordata; Actinopteri; Kurtiformes; Apogonidae
Exons: 4
Source: RefSeq, a predicted model, not a curated record
CCCGCCGGCUACCGUGGAGAUGACAAAGAAGCAGGGAGCAACCAGCCUUACAGAUACAACAAUAGUCAUCAUUGUUUCAGUGAGCCUGGCUCUUCUGGUUUGUGCAAUUAUCCCUGUAAUAUUUUAUGGACACUGGCGCAGUAAUGCAGUUGGUGAGAACAUAUCUGUGACCAACACGGAUGAGGGAGAUUACUGUGUGGAACAUA